RNAcentral lists this ribosomal RNA (252 nucleotides) under uncultured bacterium. RNAcentral's name for it is "partial 16S ribosomal RNA". It matches the Rfam family "Bacterial small subunit ribosomal RNA", at positions 524 to 776 of the family's 1533-position model. The record is from RNAcentral.
UACAGAGGUCCCAAGCGUUGUUCGGAUUCACUGGGCGUAAGGGUGCGCAGGUGGGUUUGCAAGUUCGAUGUGAAAGCCCCGGGCUUAACCCGGGAAUGGCAUUGGAUACUGCAGAUCUGGAGGAUCGGAGGGGGGACUGGAAUUCUUGGUGUAGCAGUGAAAUGCGUAGAUAUCAAGAGGAACACCAGUGGCGAAGGCGAGUCCCUGGACGGUACCUGACACUGAGGCACGAAAGCUAGGGGAGCGAACGGG